Long non-coding RNA from Hordeum vulgare subsp. vulgare (domesticated barley), 1233 nucleotides. RefSeq lists it as uncharacterized. NCBI's taxonomy places the organism in Eukaryota, Viridiplantae, Streptophyta, Magnoliopsida, Poales, Poaceae. The record is from RefSeq and is a predicted model, not a curated record. The transcript has 2 exons.
CUCCUCUCAUUCAACCCUAUCCUCACCAGACGAGAUCUGAAGCCGCCGGCAGCAGGGCUCCCCCAAGUACCACGAGAAAAUGAGCUGCAGCCUGGGCUCAUGGAUUAAAGUUUGAAACCAGCUUUCAUAGACCCGGAUGCUAUUGAAGUGAUAGCUGGCUUGACUUUGCUUUUCUUCAAAGCAUCUUGACAAACCAAAAUCCGUCAUUUUUGGCACCAUGUUUUCGUCUAGCAAUAUAUUUGCAGGUUUUAGGUCUAAGUGGUGAAUAUCGAUCUCUGAAUAUAUUGAUAACCUUCACAAAUUUGCUGAUUAUUUUGUAGAGCUAUUAUUGUCCCACAUGCAUAUCCAUGACUAAAAAAAGCAAAAAAGUAAUAAUUGGGUGUUGUGUUCUCACAAAGAAAGAUGGAAAAGUUUAACAAAAACUUGUGAAGGAAGAUGAAUGCUUUGAUUAUGCAUGAAUCCAUAAUGAUAAAGUGCUAUUGAAUGAUCAAGUAAUUUGUAAGGUUUUUAUUAUCUUCGCAAGAGUUGUAUUGUUAAUUUAGACCUAGACAUGCAAGUAUAUUUCUAGGAGAAAGCACAAUGCUGAAAGUUGUGGAUUUUUGUCUCUCAAGUUGCUUGGAGGAAAAACAAAGCCAGGCUAUUGCUUCAAAACAGUUUGGAUCUAUGUAUGAAAGCAGGGACAUUGAUGACCUGUGUUGGCCCACUUGUUUGCCUGAUAACAAGGUAUGUAUAUAUCAUAACCUAUGGUUGCAAUACUCACUUGCAAGGUCGAAAUCAUGGGGAGCAUCGUAGAAACACAUACUAUGCACAUAAUAGUCAAUUGACCACAAAGAGUAUAUUCAGACAUCAGUUGUGCUGGUAUACUCACUUAUGUUCCAUGACAUGCUUCAGUAACCUCUUUUUUUAGAGCCUAGUGUACAUCUUUAGGUACUUCAAGCUGGUGGAGGAGGUCAAGUGGCAUUAGUUGUCUAAGAGAUAAAUGUUCCAAAGAGCUGCAGCGAAGUCCACCAAUGUACAAUUGUUGUUUAGCACCAGACAGAGUACAUGUAUUAGAUCAUUUUGCCUUCAGUAUUAAGCCGAUUGUCUUGGUUGUUAUUAUAUCUGAUGGAGUACAUAUUUGGAGGAAUCCUUUAUAGUUUAUUGCAAAAAGAGUGUAAUGUCUUACCUUCAUAACCUAUGCGUGAUAUAUGUAUUGCGUCCUGAGAUAAUAAAUGGCAAUAUUCUGUACAGUUA